GCAGUGGUAGUUCAGUGGUAGAAUUCUUGCUUUCCGUGUAGGAGACCUGGGUUCAAUUCCUGGCCAGCA
Molecule: transfer RNA, 69 nt
Filed under: Loxodonta africana (African savanna elephant)
Lineage: Eukaryota; Metazoa; Chordata; Mammalia; Proboscidea; Elephantidae
Rfam family: tRNA
About the family: Transfer RNA (tRNA) molecules are approximately 80 nucleotides in length. Their secondary structure includes four short double-helical elements and three loops (D, anti-codon, and T loops). Further hydrogen bonds mediate the characteristic L-shaped molecular structure. tRNAs have two regions of fundamental functional importance: the anti-codon, which is responsible for specific mRNA codon recognition, and the 3' end, to which the tRNAs corresponding amino acid is attached (by aminoacyl-tRNA synthetases). tRNAs cope with the degeneracy of the genetic code in two manners: having more than one tRNA (with a specific anti-codon) for a particular amino acid; and 'wobble' base-pairing, i.e. permitting non-standard base-pairing at the 3rd anti-codon position.
Source: Rfam by way of RNAcentral